This is a long non-coding RNA of Oncorhynchus keta (chum salmon), 1725 nucleotides long. RefSeq lists it as uncharacterized. The record is from RefSeq and is a predicted model, not a curated record. The transcript has 3 exons. Lineage: Eukaryota; Metazoa; Chordata; Actinopteri; Salmoniformes; Salmonidae.
CACAAGGGUAACAAAUGGUUGAAGGAUGAUCAAAACGUAGACCAAUGUUCUCCAGAAGUUCCACUACAUGAAGAACUAAAGCGAGAAACAGUUGAGAAAAGGGUAAAAGAUAAGUCACAAGGACUAGACGGGGAAUUACUGGACACCAGGUCUGCAGGAAUUAUCACCCAUAGCAAGGACUAGACGGGGAAUUACUGGACACCAGGUCUGCAGGAAUUAACACCCAUAGCAAGGACUAGACGGGGAAUUACUGGACACCAGGUCUGCAGGAAUUAACACCCAUAGCAAGGACUAGACGGGGAAUUACUGGACACCAGGUCCGCAGGAAUUAACACCCAUAGCAAGGACUAGACGGGGAAUUACCGGACACCAGGUCCGCAGGAAUUAACACCCAUAGCAAGGAUUAGACGGGGAAUUACUGGACACCAGGUCUGCAGGAAUUAACACCCAUAGCAAGGACGUUAAAAUUCUAAUCUCUCCCGCUCUCAUUCAAGACCCUAUCUAGGGCCCGCCUGAUCAAGAAACAAGCCCCCGGGCUUUGUCAAUAGACUCUGAUACAAAGGUUGCAAAGAAAAAUGUCAAACGCUUCGUUAAAAGCCAAGCCCACUCAAAAUCGGAAAAGUCAAUCUGCUUCCACCUUGAACAGAAAUGGCACAUCACGUCGUUGCAAACGACCACUCCACUUUGUGGGGAACAUGUCCACUAAACAAGAAUCGAAACGACCAUACCUGGAAACAGUCCUGGAGGACUGCUUAACUUGCCAUGCGCUAACUGAUUGGGGUUCGACAAUAUCACUCAUCUCUCAAACAUUGUUUGAGGAUCUCAAAAGGGCUCUGAAGCCAACUAAACGUUGGUUAAAAGUGGAACGAUGCGACACUACACUUUGAGGGGUCACUCAGACUACCUCGCCUCUCACAUUGAGAGUCAUGCUGAAACUACACUUCAAGGACGUAUCGCUCGUUCACCCUGUGUAUGUUACCAGCCUCGAAACUGUUACCCUGUAGACUUGGAGCAGACCUGAUGGAUCGGUAAACCAACCAGGUAUGGUCACAGGCCACCGUGCCUUCUCCACCGACCACACUGUCUUCCUCUUACGCUAGCUGCAACACAGUCAUUUACGAGGGGUUUCUGUCGAAAGUACCCCUUGGGAAAAAGACGUUCAGAAACCUCUUGGGGCAGAAUCCGAUCCAAUGAGAUAUUAUGACAUCUCGACACAUUUCAUCAGCCAACUUGAUGGACCAUUCUUUUCGAGUCAGCUGUCUCUGUGAAUGCGCAACUUCCUUCCUCCUUGCAGUCGUGCAAUACGGUAGUUGAGAUGAACUUCUCUUGCCUUUCGGACACUUCCGCAAACACUGCGGCCGUCUCAGCAAGAAAAACAGUGAUGCACAGAGUAUACUCUACUUCGAUGAUACACCUUCCUCUUUGUGGGGGACUGUCACCCCUUACAAUGACACCAAUGGCGUCAGUCCAGCAACUGAUCCGAUGACUCCCGCUGGGGAAAAACUUUGCGAUAUCACAGACCGAUAUCCUCAUCUCAGUUCGCAGGUACUGAAGAGGUUGCCACACGCGGACACGGUGGUGACUGACAUGCCUCUACAGCCACUGAGGGUGUUGAAGCACAAACACCAGGAGAUUUGGUUGAAAGGUUACAGCGACUCUCGUAACAACGCGGCCGCUGACAACUCGUACACAGGGUCCGGCCUUUUCGUUUGCGCCUCGGACACC